This 465-nucleotide ribosomal RNA is filed under the name uncultured bacterium. RNAcentral describes it as "partial 16S ribosomal RNA". It matches the Rfam family "Bacterial small subunit ribosomal RNA", at positions 28 to 507 of the family's 1533-position model. The record is from RNAcentral.
GACGAACGCUGGCGGCGUGCUUAACACAUGCAAGUCGAACGGAAAGGCCCCUUUGGGGGUACUCGAGUGGCGAACGGGUGAGUAACACGUGAGUAACCUGCCCUUGACUUCGGGAUAACUUCAGGAAACUGGGGCUAAUACCGGAUAGGAAUCCUUGCUGCAUGGUGGGGGUUGGAAAGCUUCGGCGGUUUUGGAUGGACUCGCGGCUUAUCAGCUUGUUGGUGGGGUAGUGGCUUACCAAGGCUUUGACGGGUAGCCGGCCUGAGAGGGCGACCGGCCACAUUGGGACUGAGAUACGGCCCAGACUCCUACGGGAGGCAGCAGUGGGGAAUAUUGCACAAUGGGCGGAAGCCUGAUGCAGCAGCGCCGCGGGCGGGAUGACGGCCUUCGGGUUGUAAACCGCUUUCAGCAGGGGCGAAGCUUGUGGUGACGGUACCUGCAGAAGAAGCACCGGCUAACUACGUG